Molecule: long non-coding RNA, 442 nt
Filed under: Gallus gallus (chicken)
Lineage: Eukaryota; Metazoa; Chordata; Aves; Galliformes; Phasianidae
Description: long non-coding RNA NONGGAT001345
Source: RNAcentral
CCCAGCGGUUCCAGACGUUCCAUUCCUUUGCUAACUCUCCCUCGCUAUAAGCUACGUGGGCAUAAGCCUCCUCCUGAAUGCCUGGAAUACUGCGGGCACUGCUCGCUGAAACUGAUGUAUCAAUGUUAGUGCACGCUUUCCAGGGAAAAGCAAGAACUCAGUGGAAGCACAGUAUUUCACCUGCUAUGGCAAACCAUCCAGGUACUUCAGGAAUUUGCUCGUGCUUCAUUAUGAAGCCCAUCAAACAGCAACCACGCUCACAACGCACUGCAAGUAGAAACACCAGCUUCCACCAAGCAGCAUUCUGAAGCACGUGUACACCAUUUGCACAUCAGUCCUCAAGGUUAACGGGAUAUGUUUAGCCCCACAAACCCAAAAUAUAUUAAUGUCUUUUUAUUUUAAUCCCGUGAUGUCACCCCACAUCGCCAACCUUUGACUCUGC